This 65-nucleotide transfer RNA is filed under the name Sternochetus mangiferae. Its description in RNAcentral is "tRNA-Leu". It matches the Rfam family "tRNA". From Rfam's summary of the family: Transfer RNA (tRNA) molecules are approximately 80 nucleotides in length. The record is from RNAcentral. Lineage: Eukaryota; Metazoa; Arthropoda; Insecta; Coleoptera; Curculionidae.
GUUAUUUUGGCAGAAAAGUGCAAUAGAUUUAGAAUCUAUUAAUGUAAAUAUUUUUACAAAUAAUA